GAGCAUUCAGGUUUUUUUCUCUAAACUCACACUCACACACAUAAAGUGUUCUCUCUGAUUGUGGCUUGUUUGCAAGAAUCCUGCUUUCUUUGCUUGUGUUUCAAACAAACUGGUAUGUUCUUUAUUUAAGAUUUUUCCUCACCCUUAUGUGUUUAUUCCAUAGUUCAUUAUGUGUUUGCUCAACUGUUCACAUGCUGUAACUUUCUGCAAGCUUUGCCUCUUUCUUUGUUUCUGUUCUUAUAUGAAUCCCUACCUCUAAUUCCCUUUGUGUGGCAGAGCUGUGGUUCAAAAACAUGGAAAUACUUGGUAUUAUUGUCCAUGUAUAUGAACUGGACCAUCUAAGUCUUAAGCUCCUUCAAUUCCCAUUCCCCAUUAUCUUUCUAUAUAUGGUGAGUUAAGACUUUGUUCUGGAAGUGUCCUAAUCACUACCCCGGCCAUGCUCUAACCUUCAAUAGGUCCUUACUCUUAAUUGUUUGGCUGGAAGGUUGGUCAGGGGUGUGCCAGCCUACCAUAUGGCUGGGAUUGACGACUAUACUACCUUGGAUUCUCUAAUCCCCUCUAUUGCAACACAUGUUCCUAGAAACUAAGUUCUGUCCCCUUCUUAUGAGCCUUGCCUUGGUACCUAUGAGCUCCCUCUAAAAUUGGACAUUGGAAGGCUGGCCUUUCCAUACUGCACUUUAAUAUAGUUCUAAUUUAUAUCUGGGGUGUAAGCACUGUCUGGAGUUCUUUAAACUCAUUGGAACUUUGAAAUACCCUAGAUAAGAGAAGGCUUUGGAAAGCUUGUUCCCGGAAGUGGCUCAUCUCAUGUUGUUAGACAUUAAGUCUGAAUUAGGUUCCUUGGAUGUAGCUGUAAUUACUGAUGUAAUUUUUACUUCCCAUUCCAUUUAUUAGCUGUAAUAAUUUAUAAUAAACUCAUGGGAUUUAGUGAAGAAAGGAAGGUG
This 941-nucleotide long non-coding RNA is filed under the name Nicotiana benthamiana. RNAcentral's name for it is "long non-coding RNA (NBEN_LNC032850)". Lineage: Eukaryota; Viridiplantae; Streptophyta; Magnoliopsida; Solanales; Solanaceae. The record is from RNAcentral.